This 484-nucleotide ribosomal RNA is filed under the name uncultured bacterium. Its description in RNAcentral is "partial 16S ribosomal RNA". It matches the Rfam family "Bacterial small subunit ribosomal RNA", at positions 28 to 507 of the family's 1533-position model. The record is from RNAcentral.
AUUGAACGCUGGCGGCAUGCUUUACACAUGCAAGUCGAACGGCAGCGCGGGCUUCGGCCUGUCGGCGAGUGGCGAACGGGUGAGUAAUGCAUCGGAACGUGCCCAGUAGUGGGGGAUAGCCCGGCGAAAGCCGGAUUAAUACCGCAUACGACCUGAGGGUGAAAGCGGGGGACCGAAAGACCUCGCGCUAUUGGAGCGGCCGAUGUCGGAUUAGCUAGUUGGUGGGGUAAAGGCUUACCAAGGCGACGAUCCGUAGCUGGUCUGAGAGGACGACCAGCCACACUGGGACUGAGACACGGCCCCGACUCCUAGGGGAGGCAGCAGUGGGGAAUUUUGGACAAUGGGGGCAACCCUGAUCCAGCCAUGCCGCGUGAGGGAAGAAGGCCUUCGGGUUGUAAAGCGCUUUUGUUCGGGAAGAAAUCCUCUGGGCUAAUACCCCGGGGGGAUGACGGUACCGGCAGAAUAAGCACCGGCUAACUACGUG